AGUUAUAUGCUUGUCUCAAAGAUUAAGCCAUGCAUGUCUAAGUACAUACUAAAAUAAAGUUAAACCGCAUAAGGCUCAUUAUAUCAGUUAUGGUUUUUUAGAUCGUAUUCACAGUUACUUGGAUAACUGUGGUAAUUCUAGAGCUAAUACAUGCACUUAAUGGGAUCCUAACAGAUCCUUGCUUUUAUUAGACAAAAACCAAUGGGGUAAACUUCGGUUUGCUCAAAUAAAAUGGUUGAACUCUGGAUAAUUUGUUGAUCGCAUGGUCUUCGUACCGGCGACGGAUCUUUCAAAUGUCUGCCCUAUCAACUAUUGAAGGUAGUGUCUUGGACUACCUUGGUUGCAACGGGUAACGGGGAAUCAGGGUUCGAUUCCGGAGAGGGAGCCUGAGAAACGGCUACCACAUCUAAGGAAGGCAGCAGGCGCGUAAAUUACCCACUCCCGGCACGGGGAGGUAGUGACGAAAAAUAACAAUACAAGACUCACAUCCGAGGCCUUGUAAUUGGAAUGAGUACACUUUAAAUCCUUUAACGAGGAUCAAUUGGAGGGCAAGUCUGGUGCCAGCAGCCGCGGUAAUUCCAGCUCCAAUAGCGUAUAUUAAAGUUGUUGCGGUUAAAACGUUCGUAGUUGAACUUGUGUUUCGCACAGGCAGUACCUACGACUAGGUCACUAGUACGGUACUUUGUCUUUCCAUAUUCAUUUUAUGUUUAUGGAAAAGGUGCGUGAACGUAUUAUCGGCGUGUUCAUUCCAUUACGGGAUGUUCACUUAAGCUCAUUUCAGUGCUCUUCAUCGAGUGUUGUUGUGGGCCGAUACAAAUUACUUUGAACAAAUUAGAGUGCUUAAAGCAGGCUUGUAAUGCCUGAAUAUUUUGUGCAUGGAAUAAUGUAAUAGGACAUCUGUUCUACUUUCAUUGGUUUUUUAGAUCAAGAUGUAAUGAUUAAUGGAGGCAAUUGGGGGCAUUAGUAUUACAACGCGAGAGGUGAAAUUCUUAGACCGUAGUAAGACUAACUAAAGCGAAAGCAUUUGCCAAAGGUGUUUUCAUUUAAUCAAGAACGAAAGUUAGAGGUUCGAAGGCGAUC
Molecule: ribosomal RNA, 1080 nt
Filed under: Heteropeza pygmaea
Lineage: Eukaryota; Metazoa; Arthropoda; Insecta; Diptera; Cecidomyiidae
Description: SSU rRNA
Rfam family: Eukaryotic small subunit ribosomal RNA
Source: RNAcentral